Equus caballus (horse) is the source of this 2191-nucleotide long non-coding RNA. Lineage: Eukaryota; Metazoa; Chordata; Mammalia; Perissodactyla; Equidae. The record is from Ensembl.
CUAUUGGGCACUUGGUUCUUAUUUGAUUCUAGCAAAACAGUUGCCACUUGAGACAGGAAGAGCUUUAUUCAUCAAAGGAAGGGAGUCAAGGCAUAGCACAGCCAAGGACUGACCUUCAACCUUGCCCGUUCAAGUUUGGCAGGUGCUCAGCUGAGAGUGGGAAAGACAGGAUCCGCUUGGCAGGGAGCGGGUGGGUUACCCAGGAGUGUGUGCAGAAACGCUCUCUCGCCUGCCUCCUCUCCCGGUUACCGACUACUUUCCCCUUCUUGAUGUGCACCCACUCAUUCAAUGUUGGUAACACUCCAAAGAGAGGGUGCUGGCUCCCUGUUCUGGAGGUGAGGACGCCAAGGCUCAGACGGGGUGAGGAACUCACACAGCCGCCCAGCUUUCUCUCAUACAGGGCUGGAUCAGGCUUCCGCACAGCGUGGCGGCCUGGACUGCUCACACAGUGGCUGCAGCCAUCAAGAACAGGCAGCCCAGGAAGAAAGUAGCCUCUGCACCUCCUUUUUGAACCUGCCUGGGAAAUCACCGUGGCCCUUGUCUUUUGGUUCUGUAACAAAAACCCGCUCAGAUGCAAGGGGUGGGGACACAGGCAGCGCUUGCUGAUGGGAGCAGUGACAAAGUCACCUUGUGACGUGCACUGGGAUGGGAGACGCUGUUGCGGCCAUCUUUGGGAAAUGCAGUUGUUCACAGGCUGCCAUAGCCCUCCCCUCCCUCGGGGUGGGCCACAUGCCAUCAUUCUCAAGGGAGGGGCCAGGCAGCCGCAGGAGGGAGUCGGGACCCAGGACCACUGGCGGGGCAUCAUCAAUUUCUUUUGAGUGGGGCGGGGGGCUAAAAGGGCUGGCUUUGGCCGAGCUCAUAAAAAUACUUGUUAACCUCCACAGAGGAGUUCCUCCAUGCCAGACGCGCUGCCUCGCGUACUUUACACUCCCUGUCUUGUUUAAGCAUCAGCCUGAGUCUGGGAGGAGAGUCCAUUAGCAUCCACACUUACAGAUGAGGAAACUGAGGCUUGCGGAGGCCAGGGGACAGACACAGUUGCCUUGUCUUUAUCUCUGAACAGUACAGGACCUCUACACAGCGCCUGCUUCUACGUGAGAUGGACUAUCAUGGAAACUACACAGAUGAGGAAAUGAGGCUCUGAGAGGUCAACGACCUGCCUGAGUCACAUAGCCAGCGAGUGGGAGCGUCAGCAACCGAACCCAGAAACACCGCUUCCCAGCCACCUGGCUACCCUCGUCCACCCCUUGCUGAAGCCUCUGAGCCCUGUUCGUGUCUGCUCAGUGACGAGCCUGUCAGUGGCCCAAGAAUUGGCGCUCCGGGGAGCUGGGCCUGGAGGCUGCUGCGCUCACACCUGCUCGCUCUGCCAGGCAAGACAUCGGAGCCUCGGAACCUGCAGCAGGCUCCAGAAAGGUGAGAAGACGUGGCGGUGAUCCAAUCAGACAAGAAGCCUCCCCUGGCAGCCACCAUCCGCCGAGCCUCGUGGGGCUCUGGGCUGGCCGUGCCCCGCUGACUCUUCCCCAUCUCUCGGGGGUGGAAACUAUGAUUGUCCUCGUCUUACAGCCGGGGAAACUGAGGUUCUGAGAGCCUGAGCAAUGCACCCAAGGUCACUCAGUUAGUGGCAGAACCGGGCCUGGAACUCAGGCCCUUCUGAAGCCAGAUCCCGAAGAGAGAUUUUUCUCAGCGCUCAUCAGAUUGGGCCAUUCCUUUGCAUAAUCCUCCUCAGUGGCCUCCACACUCCUGAACUCGGCCCAAGGGUCCUGCAAGGCCUGAUCCUGACCUUCAUCUUCUGCCUCAUCUCUCUCCUGUCUAUCUUGAGCCCCUUCACCCUGACUGAGUGCUUUCCUCCAGCCACGCUGAUCCUUCUGAUCCCCAGUGUAAGGUCCAGUGUUCUCUUACCUCCCAGCCUUCACACAUGCUAUUCCCUCUGCCCAGAACGCCCUUCCCUUCCUCCUGAUAUGGUUAACAUUCCUUCUCCUCCAGGGCUCAGCCAGGUGUAACCUCCUCAGGGAUGCUCUCCUCAUCUCCCCAAGGCUGUGAGCUGCCCCACUUCCUGCCCUCCCUAUGCGGGGCUUGCCCCAUCCAGAAGCUAAUUCCCCUACCAGCCUGUGAGUUCCCGAGGCCAGGGUCUUCAUCUGCCUUUUUCAGAGUUAUAGCCCCAGCACACAGGCCAGGGCCCAGCACACAACAGGAG